CGCGUAGGCGGGGUCGUGGGUCGGCCGUGAAAUCCACCGGCUCAACCGGUGAACUGCGGUCGAAACUACGACUCUUGAGCUCGGUAGAGGAAGGCGGAAUUCCUGGUGUAGCGGUGGAAUGCGUAGAUAUCAGGAGGAACACCGGUAGCGAAGGCGGCCUUCUGGGCCGUAGCUGACGCUGAGGCGCGAAAGCCGGGGAGCGAACAGGAUUAGAUACCCUGGUAGUCC
This 228-nucleotide ribosomal RNA is filed under the name uncultured bacterium. RNAcentral describes it as "partial 16S ribosomal RNA". It matches the Rfam family "Bacterial small subunit ribosomal RNA", at positions 568 to 796 of the family's 1533-position model. The record is from RNAcentral.